UACAGAGGGGGCAAGCGUUGUUCGGAAUUACUGGGCGUAAAGGGCGCGUAGGCGGCCUGCUAAGUCGAACGUGAAAUCCCUGGGCUCAACCCAGGAACUGCGUCCGAUACUGGUUGGCUUGAAUCCGGGAGAGGGAUGUGGAAUUCCAGGUGUAGCGGUGAAAUGCGUAGAUAUCGGGAGGAACACCAGUGGCGAAGGCGAGUCUCUGGGAUGAUGCUGACGCUGAGGCGCGAAAGCCAGGGGAGCAAACGGG
RNAcentral lists this ribosomal RNA (253 nucleotides) under uncultured bacterium. RNAcentral's name for it is "partial 16S ribosomal RNA". It matches the Rfam family "Bacterial small subunit ribosomal RNA", at positions 524 to 776 of the family's 1533-position model. The record is from RNAcentral.